UGCAUGUCUAAGUAUAAGUUUUUUACUGCGAAACUGUGAAUGGCUCAUUACAAUAGUUAUUAUUUACUAGCCGGUCAGUUAUUCCUUGGAUACUCAUGGUAAUUCUAGAGCUAAUACAUGCUUACAGACCCAACUUCACGGAAGGGUUGCGCUUAUUAGAUACCGAACCAACCCCGCAAGGGAUUUAGUUGAUUCAUAGUGUUCUGGCGAAUCGACUUUUAGUCGAUGAGGCUAUCAAGUUUCUGACCUAUCAGCUUCCGACGGUAGGGUAUUGGCCUACCGUGGCUUUGACGGGUAACGGAGAAUUAGGGUUCGAUUCCGGAGAGGGAGCCUGAGAAACGGCUACCACAUCUAAGGAAGGCAGCAGGCGCGUAAAUUACCCAAUCCUGACACAGGGAGGUAGUGACAAGAAAUAUCAAUAUAAGACUUUUGUGUCUUGUAAUUGGGAUGAGCGGAACUUAAAUCGCUUCUCGAGUAUCAAUUGGAGGGCAAGUCUGGUGCCAGCAGCCGCGGUAAUUCCAGCUCCAAUAGCGUAUAUUAAAAUUGUUGCGGUUAAAACGCUCGUAGUUGGAUAUCUGUGAGCGGGUUCCGGUCCUUCCCAGUGAAGAUUACACGGAACUCUGCUCGCAUUUGUUCAGGGAGGGUGGAUGCACUUCACUGUGUGACCACAUGAUCUGAAUUUUUACUUUGAGGAAAUGAGAGUGUUCCAAGCAGGCAAUUGCCGUGAAUAUGAUAGCAUGGAAUAAUAGCACAGGACUCUUGGUUCAAUGCUGUUGGUUUGUUGAACUAGAGUAAUCACAAUAAGGAUAGUUGGGGGUAUUCGUAUUUAACUGUCAGAGGUGAAAUUCUUGGAUUUUUUAAAGACGAACAAUUGCGAAGGCAUCUACCCAGGAUGUUUUUGUUGAUCAAGAAC
Molecule: ribosomal RNA, 913 nt
Filed under: uncultured Syndiniales
Lineage: Eukaryota; Dinophyceae; Syndiniales
Description: SSU rRNA
Rfam family: Eukaryotic small subunit ribosomal RNA
Source: RNAcentral